RNAcentral lists this ribosomal RNA (253 nucleotides) under uncultured bacterium. RNAcentral's name for it is "partial 16S ribosomal RNA". It matches the Rfam family "Bacterial small subunit ribosomal RNA", at positions 524 to 776 of the family's 1533-position model. The record is from RNAcentral.
UACGUAGAGUGCAGGCGUUAAUCGGAAUUACUGGGCGUAAAGCGUGCGCAGGCGGUUUCUUAAGUCAGAUGUGAAAGCCCCGGGCUUAACCUGGGAACUGCGUUUGAAACUGGGAGACUUGAGUGUGGCAGAGGGGGGUGGAAUUCCGCGUGUAGCAGUGAAAUGCGUAGAGAUGCGGAGGAACACCGAUGGCGAAGGCAGCCCCCUGGGCUAGCACUGACGCUCAGGCACGAAAGCGUGGGGAGCAAACAGG